GGACAUUUAGCUAAGGGGUACAGCAUUCGGCUCAUAACCGAAAGAUCCGGGGUUCGAAUCCCUGAAUGUCCA
This 72-nucleotide transfer RNA is filed under the name Myoviridae sp. ctcyQ27. Its description in RNAcentral is "tRNA-Met". It matches the Rfam family "tRNA". Rfam says of the family: Transfer RNA (tRNA) molecules are approximately 80 nucleotides in length. Their secondary structure includes four short double-helical elements and three loops (D, anti-codon, and T loops). The record is from RNAcentral. Lineage: Duplodnaviria; Heunggongvirae; Uroviricota; Caudoviricetes.